UGAGUAAUGCCUAGGAAUCUGCCUGGUAGUGGGGGACAACGUUUCGAAAGGAACGCUAAUACCGCAUACGUCCUACGGGAGAAAGCAGGGGACCUUCGGGCCUUGCGCUAUCAGAUGAGCCUAGGUCGGAUUAGCUAGUUGGUGGGGUAAUGGCUCACCAAGGCGACGAUCCGUAACUGGUCUGAGAGGAUGAUCAGUCACACUGGAACUGAGACACGGUCCAGACUCCUACAGGAGGCAGCAGUGGGGAAUAUUGGACAAUGGGCGAAAGCCUGAUCCAGCCAUGCCGCGUGUGUGAAGAAGGUCUUCGGAUUGUAAAGCACUUUAAGUUGGGAGGAAGGGCAGUAAGUUAAUACCUUGCUGUUUUGACGUUACCGACAGAAUAAGCACCGGCUAACUCUGUGCCAGCAGCCGC
RNAcentral lists this ribosomal RNA (415 nucleotides) under uncultured Pseudomonas sp. RNAcentral's name for it is "bacterial SSU rRNA". It matches the Rfam family "Bacterial small subunit ribosomal RNA", at positions 107 to 518 of the family's 1533-position model. The record is from RNAcentral. Lineage: Bacteria; Pseudomonadati; Pseudomonadota; Gammaproteobacteria; Pseudomonadales; Pseudomonadaceae.